Molecule: long non-coding RNA, 30897 nt
Filed under: Triticum aestivum (bread wheat)
Lineage: Eukaryota; Viridiplantae; Streptophyta; Magnoliopsida; Poales; Poaceae
Description: long non-coding RNA (TAES_LNC002490)
Source: RNAcentral
UGCUAACCUCAAUGCCCUCACCGGUGCUAGGGUUGCUAUCAUCCUAGAGGCGAGCAAUGGUUUUAUGCUCUUUCAGACAAACCAUCCUACAAUGGAUUUCUUGGGAUGGAUGCUUAAUUGGGUUAUGAUGGUACUAAGUAGACAUUCUUCUAUAGGAAAUGGUGAAUGUGUUUAUGCGCAAUAGGAAUCUUCUUCCAGUGAGCAAGAUGUUGAUGCUUCGGUGCAAUCUGAAGGACUUAGUUAGAAGCUAGUUAGACUUACAUUUUAGUUCUAUAUCGGAAUGAAAGCUAGUUACAUUACCACCUGGAAAAUGUUACCAUUUGGAGAUUUUACUAAGCCCCUUCCAGGCAAUAAUAUACAUGUUCAGUGUUAUAGGUCUUGGAACAUGGAAGUUUUUUUUGUAUGUGCCACUUCAUAUUUUCAUUAUAAUCAAAUAUUUUAUUUUCUUUUUGAGAUGUUAUGUAUCUUAUGGGUGAAGGAAGAGGAAACCUUGAUUUAUAAUACCACCCCUCUUAGCAUAUUAUGAUCCAACCAUUAGUAAUUAACAGAAAAUGGGAGCUAUGCGGAGUAACUAACUAAAAGGUAGCACAAGUUCAGAUUUCCACUCAAGCGACAAGCAUCAAUUGCUUUAAUUGCAUAAGAGUAUGAAAAAUAUGAACAACUCAAUAUGAGAUUCAUUUGAAAUCACGGUAAAUCAAUGUUUUAUUAAUAGAUGCCAAUGAUUUAUUGUCAUUAAAUUAAAACCAUAGUAUACCUGCGAGGACAUGGCGGCCACCUAAUUCUCCAUUUCAGUUCCAGUAGCAAGAAACAACAAAUUUAUGAAAUGAAUCUACUUUUGUUACCUUCGUUAGUUUUUAUCCUUGAAUAAAAAGUGAUUUUUUUUGUAAUGAUAUUGCUCAUCUAAUUAAUAAAUUAGACCCUCGGCAGGUUGCAUUAUGCAAUUGUUCUAAUCUUCUCACCGUUGACAGAGCAUGGUGCCCCAAUGUUUGGUUUUUGUAAUUGAUGACAAUGUCAGGACCGGAUUUUCGGGAUAUUAGUUUCCAGAAAAUGGCCCUUGUGCUCACCAGCCCCAGGAUUACUUUUAGCUGAUGAGGCACCAACUUGAUACAGAAAUUCCAAGCAAAAUACAUAAUAUGUAGUACAAGACCAUUCUGGCCUAUGAGUACAACAAAUGGUUUCCAGUGGUUGAUGGCGGAAGCGGUUUGUGGAUCAUCAGCGUCUAUGGGACUCCAAUUCCCACAUGAACAGCUGCCAGGUUAACUCCUAUCUUCGCGAGGCUGCUAUCACCGUUGCUUAGGUUCCGGGGCUGUCAUCGCAACGCUCCUCUCCAAGCAAGAAAUCUGGCCAAGACAAUAGCCAGGGACAAGCCAGUGAGUACUUUUGAAUGUACUCGCAAACAUUAUGAACACGGGUAUGAUAUAACAACCAAUAAUCAUACUCUAAAAUAUUCUAUGCUCACAACGUCCGUCAUAAAAAUAAUAUCCCUGAUACAUGCAAGCAGGUUAUUUAUGUAAAACAUGAAUAUGCAAUCAGAGAGUAAAAAUAAAAUGCACCGAGCGGGUGUCUGAAGCGACGCCUCGAAAGGAUAAUAAUAUAAGGCAUGCCUCAGUCGGGCGUCUGCGCGACACCACAUACAUGGCUUAUAAAGUAAAUAAAUAAUGAGCAUGCCACAGUCGGGCGUCUGAGAGACACCACAUAAAGGGCUUAUAAGGUAAACAAUAAGAAUGCCACAGUCGGGCGUCUGAGCGACACCACAUAAAGGGCUUAUAAGGUAAACAAUAAGAAUGCCACAGUCAGGCGUCUGAGCGACACCACAUAAAGGGCUUAUAAGGUAAACAAUAAGAAUGCCACAGUCGGGCGUCUGAGCGACACCACAUAAAGGGCUUAUAAGAAAACAAUCACAGUGAAUAUCCAGGAGGUAGAACCGUCCCAGAAUAAUCCCAGUAAUAUGGUGGGUAAGUCCAUAAUAGUAAUAAUCCCAAUCAUCAUAGUCAACACAAGUCACAGGUCAUGAUCCAUGUUCUGGUUUAGCAGUUUCUCCUCCGAAGACCGACACUUGACCAAACCCAGACUGUAGUCCUUAACCAUGGACAUGGCUAUUCGAAUAGAUUUAACCUCUGCAAACGGUGUACUCUUUACCCACGAGUAACGGAUUCCUUUAGUCCAUCGGGACUAAUUCCGUCUACGGCCUUUUAAUAGAAAACACACCUGACUUGCACACACCAGCUUAACUUACCAGUGUCUGGAAUCACCCACGACACCUGUCAAGCAAAAACUCUAAGUGGGGAGGCUACAACCUCGCGUAGCAUGGGAUCAAAUUCAUAUCGCACACUCUAAGUGGUGCCCCCCUCUCGGUCCCAUCCGAAAACACCCAUGCCCCCGGACCAGGUGGCCUGCCUACCAGCUGCAGUCGGUAUCUUCCACCAUGGCCUCUCUGUACGGUGUGUGCUAGAAAGGGGUUGACAGACAACUUACUGUACCGUACCCUACCUGCUGUAGGGACAAGUGGUAGUACGAAACAAGUAUGGGGGUUACUGGAACAAGACUCGAUCUAUGGCCGACUCAGGAAGUUUAAGUAUUCCCAGCAUGAUUAGCUUAAUGAAUAUAUUUCAUCCAACAGACAGGAUCACCACUCAUCAUACCCCAUCAUGCCAUACCGGACACACUCGUCUCGACGAGGAACUAGGGACAAGCUCGGGUCUACCCAAGAUAGAGACUUUCCAGUUUUCCUUCUGGUAGGCGCGAAGGGCAUACGAGGAUGAUCACUAUCACAAGCAUGUCCAUUUCCAACAGCAAGGAAAUCCCCAAUAUGCAUUCAUGCAAAUGAUCGCGUCACCACAUAAAAUAACGAGUUCUCCGUAUUAAGGUGGUGUUAUAAUCAUGUCAACUAACACACAAAAAUAUUAUGCCAGGGUUCAGAAUGCUUGCCUUCAAGGGUAUGCAAGUGGGGUGUGCCUUUUGAAAGUUGACUUCUUCUCCAAAAACCUAUUUUUGAAAAUAUUCAAAUUAACACAUACUUUAAAAACUGUACAAAAACGUUGCUUGGAAAAUUUUCAAAUAAAUAUGAAAAUAAACUAGACAAUAUUUGGGAAACAACAGAAAAAGAAUCAAGUCAUUUGGAUUUAUAUCUAAAAAGUUAUAGCCUAUCAAAGUUUAGUCAACUUUCUGUUUUUAAAAUAAAUCUGAAAAAAAGAAAAACGUUUCGAAAAGGGUACACGUCGAAGACGUACUUUGGGAAUAUGCCUCCACUUAAAACACGUGGUGGCGGGGUUGGGUCACUGACAGUGGGUCCAGCGGCCCCACUGGUCAGGUUUGACUAGUCCCCCGCCUUCUUCCUCCUCUGUCCGAGCCGAGGCGGGGGCUCCGGCGAUCGACGCUGGCGAACGGCAGCUCCUCGCGGGGCUCUGAGGGCGAGGAUGGAUCCGCCACUCCCAGGUGGUCCUCCCGGUGGUUGAGAGGGUGGCGGGGACGAAGGGAGUCGCCGGCGGUGAGCCUUGCGGUGGACGGCAGCUUCGGGAGGUUUGGGGGUUUGGGUUAUGGUGCUUCCCGAUCGACGCUGAGAGGGUGGGUGGCUCCGCACGGUUGGGGGGAGAAGGAUGGAAGCACGGGAGGGGUUUGGGGGCCUCGGUCUUGACCGGAUUUCACCGGAGUGUGGCGGCGGCCGAACCUGUCGGGGACGAGGAAGAUGGCCGUCAUUCGCCGAUUGCUGGCUACGGGGGGGCUCUAGGGGGGGUGGCUCGAGGCUGCCUGAGUGCUGGGACGAGCUCGGGGUCCCCUUUUAUAGUGCAACGAGGUCGGUUCCGCGGCGGCAGUGGAUAGGGACGCCGGCGAACCGCUUUUCUGUAGCUAGGGGUGAGGUGGAGAUGCUUGGAGCUGGUCGGCGCACUCCGACGAACUCCACACUGCUCAAGAGGCGAGCUGGCUCUCGUGUGUGGCUCGGGCGGCGCCGUCCAGGGCAGAGGUUGUCGGGGCGGCGGUGGCGACAUGCAGUGGUGAUGCUGUGGUGCGCCAGGAGGGGGGGCCAGGGUGGCUCUACAGCGAGGGAGGGGUCGGGACGCUGGCUGCGAGUGGAAGGGGCCAGAACGGGAGCGGGGGAGGCGGCAGCGGGAGGUGGCGGCUUGGGCGCACACACGUGCAAAACGCGCGCUCUGGGCGCGCCCAGAGCACGCACGUGACGUGCUCGACAAAAUGACAGGGUGACCUAGAGUGCUUGAGCGAGGCUGGCAAAUAACCGGACUAGGUUAGAGUCUGCAAGAAAGUUAGUGGACAAACUGGUUUGUCCAGAGGUGCAAGGUCACAGUGCAAAGGCAAAAAUCAUGUCAAAACUGCCCAUGCACUUAAGGUAUUUGACAAAAUGCCAAUGGCAUCUAGGCAACUCUUGGGGUGGCCAAAUAUUCCAGAUCAAAGUCUAUUUAGAUGUAGGAGAGGAUGGCAAGUUUAGUUGGCCAAAUGUAGAAACUUGUUAGUGUAAGUUUUGCAAAACUCCAGUUCUGGACAGAAGGAAAAGGGUAUAAUAUCAUGUACCAAAAAUGCUCCAAUGAGUCCAACCUCCUGGACUUAAGGGUUUGCUAGGGUGGUCUACAAUCAGGAGAAAGAAUCAAGGGAAAAAGAGCAAGCAAAAACAUGGUUGCAAUACAAAUCACCAAGUUGAACCAGAAUGCAAAUGAGGAUGAUUCACUCAAUUUUUUCAAAGAGCAUCAAUGGGUUCUUGCAUAAAGAUGAAUAAUAUACUCCUAUUAACACCCCAUAAUUUUCGUGGAAGUUUUAAAGAAAUAUUUAAUUAGGUUGUAAUGCAAAAUUGCCCAAUGGACCAGAUUUGAAAAUUUGAUGUAGAGCUCAAAAUAUCGAAAAAAUGAUAUAUAAUUUUGCAUAAAAGUGAUUUAAAAACAUCACAUGACAUCCCCAAAUUUUGGUGGGAUUUUUAAAUGAAUUUAUAAAAGGGUUGCAGUUCAAAUGGGACCCUAAAAUUUAUGAAAAACCCUUUUGGAGGAAUAAAGCUCAGGAAAAAUAAUUAUAUAAAUAAUCCUACUGAUAAAAGAAUUGUUUUAUUUGAGAGGGUAACUAAGUCCAAUAAUGUUUGAAACUUUUUCACUUGGGGUAAAAACCUCAUAAAAAUAAAGAAAAGAAUGGUUCUGAAAUCAACAGGAAAUCUAGAAAAUAAAAGUUUAAGUUUCCUGGCAAAAUUUUAAUAAAUAAAACAUGGUUAAAUUUUUGGGGUGUCACAACACUACCCCCCUUAAGAAAAAUCUCGUCCUCGAGAUUUGUUAAGAGUUGUUUUCGAAAAUAUCAUUCCUGUUAGUUGAAACCAAAAGGUUUACUCAUAGUACAAACCUUGUGUCGUCAAGGUUGGUUUUUGGCAGCUACGUCCGAGGUUAAAAAUGCAAUCUCACAUCGACAUACUCAUGCAUGGCUACUAUUUAAAAUAGGGCGCACAAGCAACAGUAUUUAAUUACGGCGAUACAGGGUCACACAGUUACAAGGCGAGGACAUGCUAAGACUUGGUACUACUCGAGCGACUCUAGUCUACCUCGUUAAUAUCUAAGCGGGCGUGCCUUGCGGACGUCGAGGCUUCACCACGGUUUUCACCGUCGGGAUUAGCUGGAGGGGGUUGAGGGGCUACAGGGUCGGGGUAGCGAUGAUGACCAUUCCGGGGAUUGUUGGCCACAAUCCCGUUGGAAUGUGUUCCCAAAAGGCGACGAAGCACUUCUGGGGCCAUCAAGGUAUUAUGGUCGAUGGCUGGGGCAGACCUCAAGGACUCGAUCGGUUGUCCGAACAGCACGACUGGGCUAUCGGUGCCGGACUCCUCUUCUCCUCUUGCUGGGGCUCGGCGGGUCAGUUCUCCACGAGCUGCGAUCAGAUCAAGGGUGAUUUGAUCGAACAGUCCCUCUAGUACACAUAGCCUACCAGAUGCAAUAAUGCAGGAUCCAUCUCGUGGUCUCUGUUGGCAACUUGGGGUGGUCUACCAUAUCCGACACGGCUGGGGUAGUAGUAGAACGAGCGGCAGUUGACUCUGGGCGACAAGUGCCGGAGUUGAACUAUAGCCUCUCGAGCAGCUAGUUGGAUGGCUUGUGGCUCAAAGGAAGUUGUCCUUCCGGUGAACCUGUAGGGGCGUUCUGGCGAUAGACCCCUACCGUAGACGUGCAUAGUGGCCCAGAAUUGACGGCUCUCACCGCUCAUGGGUCCUUGGUACACAACAUAUUCUGGGGGCUCUUCUAACGCGAAGGCACGGCGGGUGAGGUUUGCUAGCACGGUCACAAAACCUCCAAGGUUGGUUGCCGUGGUCUCAUUGUGAACAAUGGGUCCUGGCAUUUUAGCUUGGUUUGGGCAGAGGUUGUGCUGUGCUAGGUUGGGGCUAGCGUGCCCUUUUUAUAAAAAAAAGAACGGAGUCUUCCUUCGCACGCUUGCGAAUGAGAUAAUUUUGGUGUCGGUCACUGGCGCGUGAUCGACAGGCUAGGCUGAUAGGUUGGGCACCGACUGCCAAAAAGGUGUCGAUCACUGUGUGGCUAUCUUACACGAGAAGCUUGGCCGGAGUUAGGUUAAGGCCUGGUGGGUUGGUUUACCUAGGUUUUUUUUUACCUGUCUAAGAUAGGAUUAGCCAAUGGUCAGCCUGGCUCUGAUACCAAGUUUGUCAGGACCGGAUUUUCGGGAUAUUAGUUUCCAGAAAAUGGCCCUUGUGCUCACCAGCCCCAGGAUUACUGUUAGCUGAUGAGGCAACAACUUGAUAUAGAAAUUCCAAGCAAAAUACAUAAUAUGUAGUACAAGACCUUUCUGGCCUAUGAGUACAACAAAUGGUUUCUAGUGGUUGAUGGCGGAAGCGGUUUGUGGAUCAUCAGCGUCUAUGGGACUCCAAUUCCCACAGGAAUAGCUGACCUGGUUAACUCCUAUCUUCGUGAGGCUGCUAUCACCGUUGCUUAGGUUCCGGGGCUGUCAUCGCAACGCUCCUCUCCAAGCAAGAAAUCUGGCCAAGACAAUAGCCAGGGACAAGCCAGUGAGUACUUUUGAAUGUACUCGCAAACAUUAUGAACAUGGGUAUGAUAUAACAACCAAUAAUCAUACUCUAAAAUAUUCUAUGCUCACAACGUCCGUCAUAAAAAUAAUAUCCAUGAUACAUGCAAGCAGGUUAUUUACGUAAAACAUGAAUAUGCAAUCAGAGAGUAAAAAUAAAAUGCACCGAGCGGGUGUCUGAAGCGACGCCUUGAAAGUAUAAUAAUAUAAGGCAUGCCUCAGUCGGGCGUCUGCGCGACACCACAUACAUGGCUUAUAAAGUAAAUAAAUAAUGAGCAUGCCACAGUCGGGCGUCUGAGCGACACCACAUAAAGGGCUUAUAAGGUAAACAGUAAGAAUGCCACAGUCGGGCGUCUGAGCGACACCACAUAAAGGGCUUAUAAGGUAAACAAUAAGAAUGCCACAGUCGGGCGUCUGAGCGACACCACAUAAAGGGCUUAUAAGGUAAACAAUAAGAAUGCCACAGUCGGGCGUCUGAGCGACACCACAUAAAGGGCUUAUAAGAAAACAAUCACAGUGAAUAUCCAGGAGGUAGAACCAUCCCAGGGAUACUCAAUAAUCCCAGUAAUAUGGUGGGUUAGUCCAUAAUAAUAAUAAUCACAAUCAUCAUAAUCAACACAAGUCACAGGUCAUGAUCCAUGUUCUGGUUUAGCAGUUUCUCCUCCGAAGACCGACACUAAGACCGACACUUGACCCAACCCAUACUGUAGUCCUUAACCAUGGACACGGCUAUUCGAAUAGAUUUAACCUCUGCAGAGGGUGUACUCUUUACCCACGAGUAACGGAUUCCUUAAGUCCAUCGGGACUAAUUUCGUCUACGGUCUUUUAAUUGAAAACACACCUGACUUGCACGCAACAGCUUAACUUACCGGUGUCUGGAAUCACCCACGAAACCUGUCAAGCAAAAACUCUAAAUGUGGAGGCUACAACCUCACAUAGCAUGGGAUCAAAUUUAUAUCACGCGCUCUAAGGGGUGCCCCCCCCUCUCGGUCCCAGCCGGAAACACCCAUGCCCCCGGACCAGGUGGCCUGCCUACCGGCUACACUCGGUAUCUUCGACCAUGGCCUCUCUGUACGGUGUGUGCUAGAAAGGGGUUGACAACUUACUAAACCAUACCCUACCUACUGUAGGGACAAGUGGUAGUACGAAACAAGUAUGGGGGUUACUGGAACAAGACUCGAUCUAUGGCCGACUCAGGAGGUUUAAGUAUUCCCUGCAUGAUUAGCUUAACGAAUAUAUUUCAUCCAACAGACAGGAUCACCACUCAUCAUACCCCAUCAUGCCGUACCGGACACACUCGUCUCGAAGAGGAACUACGGACAAGCUCGGGUCUACCCAAGACAGAGACUUUCCCGUUUUCCUUUCGGUAGGCGCGAAGGGCAUACGAGGAUGAUCACUAUCACAAGCAUGUCCAUUUCCAACAGCAAGGAAAUCCCCAAUAUGCAUUCAUGCAAAUGAUCGCGUCACCACAUAAAAUAAUGAGUUCUCCGUAUUAAGGUGGUGUUAUAAUCAUGUCAACCAACACACAAAAAUAUUAUGCCAGGGUUCAGAAUGCUUACCUUCAAGGGUAUGCAAGUGGGGUGUGCCUUUUGAAAGUUGACUUCUUCUUCCAAAACCUAUUUUCGAAAAUAUUCAAAUUAGCACAUACUUUAAAAACAGUACAAAAAAGUUGCUUGGAAAAUUUUCAAAUAAAUAUGAAAAUAAACUAGACAAUAUUUGGGAAACAACAGAAAAAGAAUCAAGUCAUUUGGAUUUAUAUCUAAAAAGUUAUAGCCUGUCAAACUUUAGUCAACUUUCUGUUUUUAAAAUAAAACUGAAAAAAAAAGAAAAACGUUUCGAAAAGGGUACACAUCGAAGUCGUACUUUGGGAAUACGCCUCCACUUAAAACACGUGGUGGCGGGGCUGGGUCACUGACACUGGGUCCAGCGGCCCCACUGGUCAGGUUUGACUAGUCCCCCGCCUUCUCCCUCCUCUCUCCGAGCCGAGGCGGGGGCUCCGACGAUCGACGCCGGCGAACGGCGGCUCCUCGCGGGGCUCUGAGGGCGGGGAUGGAUCCGCCACUCCCGGGCGGUCCUCCCGGUGGUCGAGAGGGUGGCGGGAAUGAAGGGAGUCGCCGGCGGCGAGCCUUGCGGCGGACGGCAGCUUCGGGAGGUUUGGGGGUUUGGGUUAUGGUGCUUCCCGAUUGACGCUGAGAGGGUGGGUGGCUCUGCACGGUUGGGGGGAGAAGGAUGGAAGCACGGGAGGGGUUUGGGGGCCUCGGUCUUGGCCGGAUUUCACCGGAGUGUGGCGGCGGCCGAACCUGUCAGGGAUGAGGAAGAUGGCCGUCAUUCGCCGAUUGCUGGCUACGGGAGGGCUCUAGGGGGGUGGCUCGAGGCUGCCUGAGUGCUGGGACGAGCUCGGGGUCCCCUUUUAUAGUGCAACGAGGUUGGUUCCGCGGCGGCAGUGGAUCGGGACACCGGCGAACCGCCGUUCUGUAGCUAGGGGCGACGUGGAGGUGGUUGGAGCUGGUCGGCGCACUCCGACGAACUCCACACUGCUCAAGGGGCGAGCUGGCGCGCGUGUGUGGCUCGGGCGGCGCUAUCCAGGGCAUAGGUUGUCGGGGCGGCGGUGGCGGCCUGCGGUGGUGAUGUUGUGGUGCGCCAGGAGGGGGGGCCAGGGUGGCUCUGCGGCGAGGGAGGGGUCGGGACGCUGGCUGCGAGUGGAAGGGGCCAGAACGGGUGCGGGGGAGGCGGCAGCGGGACGCGGCGGCUCGGGCGCACGCACGUGCAAAACGCGCGCUCUGGCCGCGCCCAGAGCACGCACGCGACGUGCUCGACAAAAUGCCAGGGUGACCUAGAGUGCUUGAGCGAGGCUGGCAAAUAACCGGACUAGGUUAGAGUCUGCAAGAAAGUUAGUGGACAAACUGGUUUGUCCAGAGGUGCAAGGUCACAGUGCAAAGGCAAAAAUCAUGUCAAAACUGCCCAUGCACUUAAGGUGUUUGACAAAAUGCCAAUGGCAUCUAGGCAACUCUUGGGUGGCCAAAUAUUCCAGAUCAAAGUCUCUUUAGAUGUAGGAGAGGAUGGCAAGGUUAGUUGGCCAAAUCUAGAAACUUGUUAGUGUAAGUUUUGCAAAAGUCUAGUUCUGGACAGAAGGAAAAGGGUAUAAUAUCAUGUACCAAAAAUGCUCCAAUGAGUCCAACCUCCUGGACUUAAGGGUUUGGUAGGGUGGUCUAGAAUUAGGAGAAAGAAUCAAGGGAAAAAGAGCAAGCAAAAAUAUGGUUGCAAUACAAAUCACCAAGUUGAACCAGAAUGCAAAUGAGGAUGAUUCACUCAAUUUUCUCAAAGAGCAUCAAUGGGUUUUUGCAUAAAGAUGAAUAAUAUACUCCUAUUAACACCCCAUAAUUUUGGUGGAAGUUUUAAAGAAAUAUUUAAUUAGGUUGUAGUGCAAAAUUACCCACUGGACCAGAUUUGAAAAUUUGAUGUAGACCUCAAAAUAUCCAAAGAAUGAAAUAUAUUUUUGCAUAAAAGUGAUUUAAAAACAUCACAUGACAUCCCCAAAUUUUGGUGGGAUUUUUAAAUGAAUUUAUAAAAGGGUUGCAGUUCAAAUGGGACCCUAAAAUUUAUGAAAAACCCUUUUGGAGGAAUAAAGCUCAGGAAAAAUAAUUAUAUAAAUAAUCCUACUGAUAAAAGAAUUGUUUUAUUUGAGAGGGUAACUAAGUCUAAUAAUGUUUGAAACUUUUUCACUUGGGGUAAAAACCUCAUAAAAAUAAAGAAAAGAAUGGUUCUGAAAUCAACAGGAAAUCUAGAAAAUAAAAGUUUAAGUUUCCUGGCAAAAUUUUAAUAAAUAAAACAUGGUUAAAUUUUUGGGGUGUCACAACACUACCCCCCUUAAGAAAAAUCUCGUCCUCGAGAUUUGUUAAGAGUUGUUUUCGAAAAUAUCAUUCCUGUUAGUUGAAACCAAAAGGUUUACUCAUAGUACAAACCUUGUGUCGUCAAGGUUGGUUUUUGGCAGCUACGUCCGAGGUUAAAAAUGCAAUCGCACAUCGACAUACUCAUGCAUGGCUACUAUUUAAAAUAGGGCGCACAAGCAACAGUAUUUAAUUACGGCGAUACAGGGUCACACAGUUACAAGGCGAGGACAUGCUAAGACUUGGUACUACUCGAGCAACUCUAGUCUACCUCGUUAAUAUCUAAGCGGGCGUGCCUUGCGGACUUCGAGGCUUCGCCACGGUUUUCACCAUCGGGAUUAGCUGGAGGGGGUUGAGGGGCUGCAGGGUCGGGGUAGCGAUGAUGACCAUUCCGGGGAUUGUUGGCCACAAUCCCGUUGGAAUGUGUUCCCAAAAGGCGACGAAGCACUUCUGGGGCCAUCGAGGUAUUAUGGUCGAUGGCUGGGGCAGACCUCAAGGACUCGAUCGGUUGUCCGAACAGCACGACUGGGCUGUCGGUGUCGGGCUCCUCUUCUCCUCUUGCUGGGGCUCGGCGGGUCAGUUCUCCACGAGCUGCGAUCAGAUCAGGGGUGAUUUGAUCGAACAAUCCCUCUAGUACACAUAGCGUACCAGAUGCAAUAAUGCAGGAUCCGUCUCGUGGUCUCCGUUGGCAACUUGGGGUGGUCUACCAUAUCCGUCACGGCUGGGGUAGUAGUAGAACGAGCGGUAGUUGACUCUGGGCGACAAGUGUCGGAGUUGAACUAUAGCCUCUCGAGCAGCUAGUUGGAUGGCUUGUGGCUCAAAGGAAGUUGUCCUUCCGGUGAACCUGUAGGGGCGUUCUGGCGAUAGACCCCUACCGUAGACGUGCACAGUGGCCCAGAAUUGACGGCUCUCACAGCUCAUGGGUCCUUGGUACACAACAUAUUCUGGGGGCUCUUCUAUCGCGAAGGCACGGCGGGUGAGGUUUGCUAGCACGGUCACAAAACCUCCAAGGUUGGUUGCCGUGGUCUCAUUGUGAACAAUGGGUCCUGGCAUUUUAGCUUGGUUUGGGCAGAGGUUGUGCUGUGCUGGGUUUGGGCUAGCAUGCCCUUUAUUAAAAAAAAGGACGGAGUCUUCCUUCGCACGCUUGCGAAUGACAUAAUUUUGGUGUCGGUCACUGGCGCGUGAUCGACAGGCUAGGCUGAUAGGUUGGGCACUGACUGCCAAAAAGGUGACGGUCACUGUGUGGCUAUCUUACACGAGAAACUUGGCCGGGGUUAGGUUAAGGCCUGGUGGGUUGGUUUACCUAGGUUUUUUUUGACCUGUCUAAGAUAGGAUUAGCCAAUGGCCAGCCUGGCUCUGAUACCAAGUUUGUAAGGACCGGAUUUUUGGGAUAUUAGUUUCCAGAAAAUGGCCCUUAUGCUCACCAGCCCCAGGAUUACUGUUAGCUGAUGAGGCAACUACUUGAUACAGAAAUUCCAAGCAAAAUACAUAAUAAGUAGUACAAGACCAUUCUGGCCUAUGAGUACAACAAAUGGUUUCUAGUGGUUGACGGCGGAAGCGGUUUGUGGAUCAUCAGUGUCUAUGGGACUCCAAUUCCCACAGGAACAGCAGACCAGGUUAACUUAUCUUCGUGAGGCUGCUAUCACCGUUGCUUAGGUUCCCGGGCUGUCAUCACAACGCUCCUCUCCAAGCAAGAAAUCUGGCCAAGACAAUAGCCAGGGACAAGCCAGUGAGUACUUUUGAAUGUACUCGCAAACAUUAUGAACACGGGUAUGAUAUAACAACCAAUAAUCAUACUCUAAAAUAUUCUAUGCUCACAACGUCCGUCAUAAAAAUAAUAUCCCUGAUACAUGCAAGUAGGUUAUUUAUGUAAAACAUGAAUAUGCAAUCAGAGAGUAAAAAUAAAAUGCACCGAGCGGGUGUCUGAAGCGACGCCUCGAAAGGAUAAUAAUAUAAGGCAUGCCUCAGUCGGGCGUCUGCGCGACACCACAUACAGGGCUUAUGAAGUAAAUAAAUAAUGAGCAUGCCACAGUCGGGCGUCUGAGCGACACCACAUAAAGGGCUUAUAAGGUAAACAAUAAGAAUGCCACAGUCGGGCGUCUGAGCGACACCACAUAAAGGGCUUAUAAGGUAAACAAUAAGAAUGCCACAGUCGGGCGUUUGAGCGACACCACAUAAAGGGCUUAUAAGAAAACAAUCACAGUGAAUAUCCAAGAGGUAGACCCGUCCUAGGGAUACUCAAUAAUCCCAGUAAUAUGGUGGGUUAGUCCAUAAUAAUAAUAAUCACAAUCAUCAUAAUCAACACAAGUCACAGGUCAUGAUCCAUGUUCUGGUUUAGCAGUUUCUCCUCCGAAGACCGACACUAAGACCGACACUUGACCCAACCCAUACUGUAGUCCUUAACCAUGGACAUGGCUAUUCGAAUAGAUUUAACCUCUGCAGAGGGUGUACUCUUUACCCACGAGUAACGGAUUCCUUUAGUCCAUCGGGACUAAUACCGUCUACGGUCUUUUAAUUGAAAACACACCUGACUUGCACACACCAGCUUAACUUACCGUUGUCUCGAAUCACCCACGACAUCUGUCAAGCAAAAACUCUAAGUGUGGAGGCUACAACCUCGCAUAGCAUGGGAUCAAAUUUAUAUCGCGCGCUCUAAGGGGUGCCCCCCUCUCGGUCCCAACCGGAAACACCCAUGCCGCCGGACCAAGUGGCCUGCCUACCGGCUGUAGUCGGUAUCUUCCACCAUGGCCUCUCUGUACGGUGUGUGCUAGAAAGGGGUUGACAACUUACUGAACCGUACCCUACCUGCUGUAGGGACAAGUGGUAGUAUGAAACAAGUAUGGGGGUUACUGGAACAAGACUCGAUCUAUGGCCGACUCAGGAGGUUUAAGUAUUCCCUGCAUGAUUAGCUUAACGAAUAUAUUUCAUCCAACAGACAGGAUCACCACUCAUCAUACCCCAUCAUGCCAUACCGGACACACUCGUAUCGACGAGGAACUAGGGAUAAGCUCGGGUCUACCCAAGACAGAGACUUUCCCGUUUUCCUUCCGGUAGGCGCGAAUGGCAUACGAGGAUGAUCACUAUCACAAGCAUGUCCAUUUCCAACAGCAAGGAAAUCCCCAAUAUACAUUCAUGCAAAUGAUCGCGUCACCACAUAAAAUAACGAGUUCUCCGUAUUAAGGUGGUGUUAUAAUCAUGUCAACCAACACACAAAAAUAUUAUGCCGGGGUUCAGAAUGCUUACCUUCAAGGGUAUGCAAGUGGGGUGUGCCUUUUGAAAGUUGACUUCUUCUUCAAAUACCUAUUUUCAAAAAUAUUCAAAUUAACACAUACUUUAAAAACAGUACAAAAAAGUUACUUGGAAAAUUUUCAAAUAAAUAUGAAAAUAAACUAGACAAUAUUUGGGAAACAGCAUAAAAAGAAUCAAGUUAUUUGGAUUUAUAUCUAAAAAUUAUAGCCUGUCAAAGUUUAGUCAACUUUCUUUUUUUAAAAUAAAACUGAAAAAAAAGAAAAACGUUUCGAAAAGGGUACACGUCGAAGACGUACUUUGGGAAUACGCCUCCACUUAAAACACGUGGUGGUGGAGCUGGGUCACUGACACUGGGUCCAGCGGCCCCACUAGUCAGGUUUGACUAGUCCCCCGCCUUCUUCCUCCUCUGUCCGAGCCGAGGCGGGGGCUCCGGCUAUCGACGCCGGCGAACGGCGGCUCCUCGCGGGGCUCUAAGGGCGGGGAUGGAUCCGCCACUCCCGUGCGGUCCUCCCGGUGGUCGAGAGGGUGGCGGGGACGAAGGGAGUCGCCGGCGGCGAGCCUUGCGGCGGACGGCAGCUUCGGGAGGUUUGGGGGUUUGGGUUAUGGUGCUUCUCGAUCGACGCUGAGAGGGUGGGUGGCUCUGCACGGUUGGGGGGAGAAGGAUGGAAGCACAGGAGGGGUUUGGGGGCCUCGGUCUUGGCCGAAUUUCACCGGAGUGUGGCGGCGGCCGAACCUGUCGGGGACGAGGAAGAUGGCCGUCAUUCUCCGAUUGCUGGCUACGGGGGGGGGGCUCUAGGGGGGUGGCUCGAGGCUGCCUGAGUGCUGGGACGAGCUCGGGGUCCCCUUUUAUAGUGCAACGAGGUCGGUUCCGCGGCGGCAGUGGAUAGGGACGCAGCGAACCGCCAUUCUGUAGCUAGGGGCGACGUGGAGGUGGUUGGAGCUGGUCGGCGCACUCCGAUGAACUCCACACUGCUCAAGGGGCAAGCUGGCGCGCGUGUGUGGCUCGGGCGCCGCCGUCCAGGGCAGAGGUUGUCGGGGCGGCGCUGGCGGCAUGCGGUUGUGAUGCUGUGGUGCGCCAGGAGGGGGGCAGGGUGGCGCUGCGGCGAGGGAGGCGGGACGCUGGCUGCGAGUGGAAGGGGCCAGAACGGGUGCGGGGGAGGCGGCAGCGGGACGCGGUGGCUCGGGCGCAUGCACGUGCAAAACGCGCGCUCUAGCCGCGCCCAGAGCACGCACGCGACAUGCUCAACAAAAUGCCAGGGUGACCUAGAGUGCUUGAGCGAGGCUGGCAAAUAACCGGACUAGGUUAGAGUCUGCAAGAAAGUUAGUGGACAAACUGGUUUGUCCAGAGGUGCAAGGUCACAGUGCAAAGGCAAAAAUCAUGUCAAAACUGCCCAUGCACUCAAGGUGUUUGACAAAAUGCCAAUGGCAUCUAGGCAACUCUUGGGGUGGCCAAAUAUUCCAGAUCAAAGUCUAUUUAGAUGUAGGAGAGGAUGGCAAGGUUAGUUGGCCAAAUCUAGAACCUUGUUAGUGUAAGUUUUGCAAAACUCCAGUUCUGGACAGAAGGAAAAGGGUAUAAUAUCAUGUACCAAAAAUGCUCCAAUGAGUCCAACCUCCUGGACUUAAGGGUUUGGUAGGGUGGUCUAGAAUCAGGAGAAAGAAUCAAGGGAAAAAGAGCAAGCAAAAAUAUGGUUUCAAUAAAAAUCACCAAGUUGAACCAGAAUGCAAAUGAGGAUGAUUCACUCAAUUUUUUCAAAGAGCAUCAAUGGGUUUUUGCAUAAAGAUGAAUAAUAUACUCCUAUUAACACCCCAUAAUUUUGGUGGAAGUUUUAAAGAAAUAUUUAAUUAGGUUGUAGUGCAAAAUUGCCCACUUGACCAGAUUUGAAAAUUUGAUGUAGAGCUCAAAAUAUCCAAAGAAUGAUAUAUAUUUUUGCAUAAAAGUGAUUUAAAAACAUCACAUGACAUCCCCAAAUUUUGGUGGGAUUUUUAAAUGAAUUUAUAAAAGGGUUGCAGUUCAAAUGGAACCCUAAAACUUAUGAAAACCCCUUUUAGAGGAAUAAAGCUCAGGAAAAAUAAUUAUAUAAAUAAUCCUACUGAUAAAAGAAUUGUUUUAUUUGAGAGGGUAAAUAAGUCCAAUAAUGUUUGAAUUUUUUUCACUUGGGGUAAAAACCUCAUAAAAAUAAAGAAAAGAAUGGUUCUGAAAUCAAUAGGAAAUCCUGAAAAUAAAAGUUUAAGUUUCCUGGCAAAAUUUUAAUAAAUAAAACAUGGUUAAAUUUUUGGGGUGUCACAACACUACCCCCCUUAAGAAAAAUCUCGUCCUCAAGAUUUGUUAAGAGUUGUUUUCGAAAAUAUCAUUCCUGUUAGUUGAAACCAAAAGGUUUACUCAUAGUACAAACCUUGUGUCGUCAAGGUUGGUUUUUGGCAGCUACGUCCGUGGUUAAAAAUGCAAUCGCACAUCGACAUACUCAUGCAUGGCUACUAUUUAAAAUAGGGCGCACAAGCAACAGUAUUUAAUUACGGCGAUACAGGUUCACACAGUUACAAGGCGAGGACAUGCUAAGACUUGGUACUACUCGAGCAACUCUAGUCUACCUCGUUAAUAUCUAAGCGGGCGUGCCUUGCGGACUUCGAGGCUUCGCCACGGUUUUCACCAUCGGGAUUAGCUGGAGGGGGUUGAGGGGCUGCAGGGUCGGGGUAGCGAUGAUGACCAUUCCGGGGAUUGUUGGCCACAAUCCCGUUGGAAUGUGUUCCCAAAAGGCGACGAAGCACUUCUGGGGCCAUCGAGGUAUUAUGGUCGAUGGCUGGGGCAGACCUCAAGGACUCGAUCGGUUGUCCGAACAGCACGACUGGGCUGUCGGUGCCGGGCUCCUCUUUUCCUCUUGCUGGGGCUCGGCGGGUCAGUUCUCCACGAGCUGCGAUCAGAUCAAGGGUGAUUUGAUCGAACAGUCCCUCUAAUACACAUACCGUACCAGAUGCAAUAAUGCAGGAUCCAUCUCGUGGUCUCCGUUGGCAACUUGGGGUGGUCUACCAUAUCCGUCACGGCUGGGGUAGUAGUAGAACGAGCGGCAAUUGACUCUGGGCGACAAGUGCCGGAGUUGAACUAUAGCCUCUCGAGCAGCUAGUUGGAUGGCUUGUGGCUCAAAGGAAGUUGUCCUUCCGGUGAACCUGUAGGGGCAUUCUGGUGAUAGACCCCUACCGUAGACGUGCACAGUGGCCCAGAAUUGAUGGCUCUCACCGCUCAUGGGUCCUUGGUACACAACAUAUUCUGGGGGCUCUUCUAACGCGAAGGCACGGCGGGUGAGGUUUGCUAGCACGGUCACAAAACCUCCAAGGUUGGUUGCCGUGGUCUCAUUGUGAACAAUUGGUCCUGGCAUUUUAGCUUGGUUUGGGCAGAGGUUGUGAUGUGCUGGGUUGGGGCUAGCGUGCCCUUUUUAUAAAAAAAAGGACGGAGUCUUCCUUCGCACGCUUGCGAAUGAGAUAAUUUUGGUGUCGGUCACUGGCGCGUGAUCGACAGGCUAGGCUGAUAGGUUGGGCACCGACUGCCAAAAAGGUGUUGGUCACUGUGUGGCUAUCUUACACGAGAAGCUUGGCCGGGGUUAGGUUAAGGCCUGGUGGGUUGGUUUACCUAGGUUUUUUUUUGACCUGUCUAAGAUAGGAUUAGCCAAUGGUCAGUCUGGCUUUGAUACCAAGUUUGUCAGGACCGGAUUUUCGGGAUAUUAGUUUCCAGAAAAUUGCCCUUGUGCUCACCAGCCCCAGGAUUACUGUUAGCUGAUGAGGCAACAACUUGAUACAGAAAUUCCAAGCAAAAUACACAAUAUGUAGUACAAGACCUUUCUGGCCUAUGAGUACAACAAAUGGUUUCUAGUGGUUGAUGGCGGAAGCGGUUUGUGGAUCAUCAGCGCCUAUGGGACUCCAAUUCCCACAGGAACAGCUGACCUGAUUAACUCCUAUCUUCGUGAGGCUGCUAUCACCGUUGCUUAGGUUCCGGGGCUGUCAUCGCAACGCUCCUCACCAAGCAAGAAAUCUGGCCAAGACAAUAGCCAGGGACAAGCCAGUGAGUACUUUUGAAUGUACUCGCAAACAUUAUGAACACGGGUAUGAUAUAACAACCAGUAAUCAUACUCUAAAAUAUUCUAUGCUCACAACGUCCGUCAUAAAAAUAAUAUCCCUGAUACAUGCAAGCAGGUUAUUUAUGUAAAACAUGAAUAUUCAAUCAGAGAGUAAAAAUAAAAUGCACCGAGCGGGUGUCUGAAGCGACGCCUCGAAAGGAUAAUAAUAUAGGGCAUGCCUCAGCCGGGCGUCUGCGCGACACCACAUACAUGGCUUAUAAAGUAAAUAAAUAAUGAGCAUGCCACAGUCGGGCGUCUGAGCGACACCACAUAAAGGGCUUAUAAGGUAAACAAUAAGAAUGCCACAGUCGGGCGUCUGAGCGACACCACAUAAAGGGCUUAUAAGGUAAACAAUAAGAAUGCCGCAGUCGGGCGUCUGAGCGACACCACAUAAAGGUCUUAUAAGGUAAACAAUAAGAAUGCCACAGUCGGGCGUCUGAGCGACACCACAUAAAGGGCUUAUAAUAAAACAAUCACAGUGAAUAUCCAGGAGGUAGAACCGUCCCAGGGAUACUCAAUAAUCCCAGUAAUAUGGUGGGUUAGUCCAUAAUAAUAAUAAUCACAAUCAUCAUAAUCAACACAAGUCACAGGUCAUGAUCCAUGUUCUGGUUUAGCAGUUUCUCCUCAGAAGACCGACACUUGACCCAACCCAUACUGUAGUCCUUAACCAUGGACACGUCUAUUCGAAUAGAUUUAACCUCUGCAGAGGGUGUACUCUUUACCCACGAGUAACGGAUUCCUUUAGUCCAUCGGGACUAAUUCCGUCUACGGUCUUUUAAUUGAAAACACACCUGACUUGCACACACCAGCUUAACUUACCGGUGUCUGGAAUCACCCACGACACCUGUCAAGCAAAAACUCUAAGUGUGGAGGCUACAACCUCGCAUAGCAUGGGAUCAAAUUUAUAUCGCGCGCUCUAAGGGGUGCCCCCGCCCCCUCUCGGUCCGAACCGGAAACACCCAUGCCCCCGGACCAGGUGGCCUGCCUACCGGCUGCAGUCGGUAUCUUCCACCAUGACCUCUCUGUACAGGGACUUUCCCGUUUUCCUUUCGGUAGGCGCGAAGGGCAUACGAGGAUGAUCACUAUCACAAGCAUGUCCAUUUCCAACAGCAAGGAAAUCCCCAAUAUGCAUUCAUGCAAAUGAUCGCGUCACCACAUAAAAUAACGAGUUCUCCCUAUUAAGGUGGUGUUAUAAUCAUGUCAACCAACACACAAAAAUAUUACGCCAGGGUUCAGAAUGCUUACCUUCAAGGGUAUGCAAGUGGGGUGUACCUUUUGAAAGUUGUCUUCUUCUUCAAAAACCUAUUUUCGAAAAUAUUCAAAUUAACACAUACUUUAAAAACAGUACAAAAAGUUGCUUGGAAAAUUUUCGAAUAAAUAUGAAAAUAAACUAGACAAUAUUUGGGAAACAACAGAAAAAGAAUCAAGUCAUUUGGAUUUAUAUCUAAAAAGUUAUAGCCUGUCAAACUUUAGUCAACUUUUUGUUUUUAAAAUAAAACUGAAAAAAAAUGUUUCGAAAAGGGUACACGUCAAAGUCGUACUUUGGGAAUACGCCUCCACUUAAAACACGUGGUGGCGGGGCUGGGUCACUAACACUAGGUCCAGCGGCCCCACUGGUCAGGUUUGACUAGUCCCCCGCCUUCUUCCUCCUCUGUCCGAGCCGAGGCGGGGGCUCCGGCGAUCGACGCCGGCGAACGACGGCUCCUCGCGGGGCUCUGAGGGCGGGGAUGGAUCCGCCACUCCCGGGCGGUCCUCCCGAUGGUCGAGAGGGUGGCGGGGACGAAGGGAGUCGCCGGCGGCGAGCCUUGCGGCGGACGGCAGCUUCGGGAGGUUUGGGGGUUUGGGUUAUGGUGCUUCCCGAUCGACGCUGAGAGGGUGGGUGGCUCCGCACGGUUGGGGGAGAAGGAUGGAAGCACGGGAGGGGUUUGGGGGCCUCGGUCUUGGCCGGAUUUCACCGGAGUGUGGCGGCGGCCGAACCUGUCGGGGACGAGGAAGAUGGCCGUCAUUCACCGAUUGCUGGCUACGGGAGGGCUCUAGGGGGGUGGCUCGAGGCUGCCUGAGUGCUGGGACGAGCUCGGGGUCCCCUUUUAUAGUGCAACGAGGUUGGUUCCGCGGCGGCAGUGGAUCGGGACACCGGCGAACCGCCGUUCUGUAGCUAGGGGCGACGUGGAGGUGGUUGGAGCUGGUCGGCGCACUCCGACGAACUCCACACUGCUCAAGGGGCGAGCUGGCGCGCGUGUGUGGCUCGGGCGGCGCUAUCCAGGGCAGAGGUUGUCGGGGCGGCGGUGGCGGCCUGCGGUGGUGAUGUUGUGGUGCGCCAGGAGGGGGGGCCAGGGUGGCUCUGCGGCGAGGGAGGGGUCGGGACGCUGGCUGCGAGUGGAAGGGGCCAGAACGGGUGCGGGGGAGGCGGCAGCGGGACGCGGCGGCUCGGGCGCACGCACGUGCAAAACGCGCGCUCUGGCCGCGCCCAGAGCACGCACGCGACGUGCUCGACAAAAUGCCAGGGUGACCUAGAGUGCUUGAGCGAGGCUGGCAAAUAACCGGACUAGGUUAGAGUCUGCAAGAAAGUUAGUGGACAAACUGGUUUGUCCAGAGGUGCAAGGUCACAGUGCAAAGGCAAAAAUCAUGUCAAAACUGCCCAUGCACUCAAGGUGUUUGACAAAAUGCCAAUGGAAUCUAGGCAACUCUUGGGGUGGCCAAAUAUUCCAGAUCAAAGUCUCUUUAGAUGUAGGAGAGGAUGGCAAGGUUAGUUGGCCAAAUCUAGAAACUUGUUAGUGUAAGUUUUGCAAAAGUCUAGUUCUGGACAGAAGGAAAAGGGUAUAAUAUCAUGUACCAAAAAUUCUCCAAUGAGUCCAACCUCCUGGACUUAAGGGUUUGGUAGGGUGGUCUAGAAUCAGGAGAAAGAAUCAAGGGAAAAAGAGCAAGCAAAAAUAUGGUUGCAAUACAAAUCACCAAGUUGAACCAGAAUGCAAAUGAGGAUGAUUCACUCAAUUUUUUCAAAGAGCAUCAAUGGGUUUUUGCAUAAAGAUGAAUAGUAUACUCCUAUUAACACCCCAUAAUUUUGGCGGAAGUUUUAAAGAAAUAUUUAAUUAGGUUGUAGUGCAAAAUUGCCCACUGGACCAGAUUUGAAAUUUUGAUGUAGAGCUCAAAAUAUCCAAAGAAUGAAAUAUAUUUUUGCAUAAAAGUGAUUUAAAAACAUCACAUGACAUCCCCAAAUUUUGGUGGGAUUUUUAAAUGAAUUUAUAAAAGGGUUGCAGUUCAAAUGGGACCCUAAAACUUAUGAAAAAUCCUUUUAGAGGAAUAAAGCUCAGGAAAAAUAAUUAUAUAAAUAAUCCUACUGAUAAAAGAAUUGUUUUAUUUGAGAGGGUAAAUAAGUACAAUAAUGUUUGAAAAGUUUUCACUUGGGGUAAAAACCUCAUCAAAAUAAAGAAAAGAAUGGUCCUGAAAUCAAUAGGAAAUCCAGAAAAUAAAAGUUUAAGUUUCCUGGCAAAAUUUUAAUAAAUAAAACACGGUUAAAUUUUUGGGGUGUCACAGACAAUCUCUAUGGACUAAUGGUUGCUUUGAGUUAUAUUUGAAAGGUUAUCCAUAGGCAAUGCUUGAAGACCAUAUGUUGGUUUCAAGGUUGAAAGAAGAAUAUUAUUUGUUGACCAAGGUGUUAUUCAUGGAGUUAUCCAAAUAUUGGUCAUGUGAGAGUUGAGUAUAUUGCAAGCAUGUCUUGAAAAUAAGAUUAUUUGAACAUUCAUGUUGCCUUUAAUACAUCAUCUUUAUGAAGAGAGAAGAUAAGAUACAAGGUUGAUCAAGACUAAGUACAAAGAAUGGAUUCAAGUUGAUGAACACACAAAGCAUAGAAGAUGUACCGAGUCGAAUCAAGUGAUCUCACGAUAUGGUAAGCAUUGUCCAUUAUGCUUUGUGUAACCCAUGAUCUAUUUGUGUGGUGUUCCUAUGUGGGGCUAGUUUUUUUCCAUGGGCUUACAUCAAGAGGAAGAUAUCAGAUAACCCAUGGAGGAUGACAUCAUGUGGUGAUCGUCAUCAAUGUUGUGUUGUGCAAGUUCAAGUGGAGCAUCACAAAGAGAUCACAUGCUUGAAGCUUGCCAUCCAUUCUGGUGAUAAUGGAGUUGUGAAGAUGUGCCAAAGAGAGGCCAACCCAUAGUGGAGUAUGGGGGAGCAAUAUAUUGGUCUUCAUCGAGCUAGCGCAAUCAGAAAGGUGGUCCAACAUGAGGAGGACGAGAUCAUCAUCGUCUAGCUCAAGUGGACUAUGCGCAAGGCAAAGGUUUGACCUUAAUAGGUUUUCUGUUUUACCGAUCUGAUGGUGUUAGUUGGGAGACCGGGUUGAAGGAUUGAUUGACGUACUAUCAAGGGGGCUCUCGAGUGAGUAGCUUGAGCGUAUCAUUCAUAGAGAGCUCAAACCAUUGCAUCAUUGGCAUCAUCUUUCUUGGUUCUUGUUUGGCUUUUCCCUAUGUGAGUUUUGGAGCUUGUGGUCAUCUCCGUGGCAAGUUCAAGUUGAUCAAAAAUGGAUUUCAUAUGCAGCAUGUAUUGUGUUUUCGAUGUAGGAGUUUUUGCCAGUUCUUCACUCAUGUAUAUUUCACACCUCUAUUGUGAUUUGACAACUCUUGUAGUUACCUUUCUAUCAAGUUUCAAUUCAUCAAUAUCAAAGUGGUGGUACCGCUUGCUACUGGUGGUAGUACUGCUUAUGCAGUACUUUCGCUGGUUGGUGCCGUGGCUACCUCUGGUUGUGUUUAGUCUUCUGUAUGCCUCUGGCAAUUCGCGGUAGUGCCACUGCUUCCAACGGUAGUACCGCUUGAUGCGGUUCUUCCGCUCUGGCGCCGCUUGAACUACUGCUGGUUUGUCUGUUAGCCUAUUGACAAUUAGCGACAGUAUCGCUUGUUGUAGCCGGUGGGACCGCUCCGGCAGAACUAGGAUGCGAGUACCACUGUGGUACUCGAUGAGCCUUAGUGAAACUGCCGCUCUUAGCAGUAGUACCGCUUGAGCAUGACCAGUGCAUAAUGGUCUUAUUCUUGCCCCCACUAUAAAAGGGGGUCUUCUUCACCAUUGCUCCUAGCAACUUUGAGCAAGCUUUCUCCUCCAUUAUUGACCUCUAAAAGCUUUGCUUUAUCUCUAUCCCUCCCAUGGUUCUUGCAUCAUUUUGAGGGGAAAGAGAUAGGAUAUCUAGAUUCUAUAUCUACAUUUCCACCAAUCCAUCUUACGUCUAAGUGAGGGGAACCCUUUGGAUCUAAAUCUUCGAGUUCUUUUGUGUUCUCCUUGUUCUUCCUCACAUAUUCCACCAUAGCUUUCGUUAAUUUGUGGGAUUUGAGAGAUGUGGGACUUGAGCACUUAGUGUGUUCUUGCCAUUACAUUAGUUGCAUCGGUUUGAGUUCUCCAUGAUGAUACAUGGAAGUGAAAGUCGAGAAGCUUACUAGUACCUUUUGGGUAUUUGGGUGUCCUAGAUGAUUGGUGGUGUCUCAAAGCUCAAUCAUUGUUGUGUAAAGCUUCGAGAAAGCUUUGGGGUCUCUAAUACGUCCAUUUUAUAUCAUGUUUUCCUACUACUAUUUCUAAUGCUUUAUAGCUAUAUUUCACCUUUGAUGCAAUUCCAAUGCCUUUUCUCUCUUAAUUGCCAGUUAUAUCACAAGAGGAAGAUUGCCGACAGCUGGAAUUCUGGACCUGAAAAGUGCUACAACAGAGAUAGCUAUUCUCUUGAGCUCCAAAUGACCUAAAUUUUUCCAAAGAUUUGUUUUGAAAUAUAUAAAAAAUACUAGAAGCAAAAUGCACUGAAGGGGACGCACUAGGGAGCUACAAGCUCGGGGGCGCGCCCACCCCCUGGGGUGCACCUGGUGAGCUUAUGAGUCCCACAGAAGGUCUAUGUGGCCCAUCGUCUCCUAUAUGAAGCCAUUUUCCCUAUAAAAAUAAUCAAGAGAAGACUUUUGGAACGAAGCGCCACCGUCUCGAGGCGGAACCUGGGCAGGAGCAAUUUUGCUCUGUGGCAAAGCGAUUCCACCGGGGAAACUUCCCUCUGGGAGGGGGAAAUCAAAGCCAUCAUCAUCAUCAACGUUCCUUUCAUCAUGGGAGGACUCAUCUCCGUCAACAUCUUCACUAGCACCAUCUCACUUCAAACCCUAGUUCAUCUCUUGUAUUCAAUCUUUGUCUCAAACCUCAGAGUGGUACAUGUGGGUUGCUAGUAGUGUUGAUUACAUCUUGUAGUUGAUUUACUUGGUGGAAGAUCAUAUCUUUAGAUUUUUAAUCAUAUAUUAUUCUCCUCUUAUCAUGAACAUGAAUAUGAUGUGUGAGUAGUUUCUUUUAUUCUUGAGGAAACAGGAGAAGUCUUGUUGUAAGUAAUCAUGUGAAGUUGGUUUUCAUUCAAUAUUUUGAUGAUGUGCUAUGUUGUUCUUCCUCUAGUGGUGUCAUGUGAAUGUCGACUACAUGUCACAUUAUCAUGUUUGAGCCUAGGGGAAGGCAUUGUGGGAUUAGUCAGUAGAUGAUGGGUUGCUAGAGUGAUAGAAGCUUAAAUCCUAGUUUAUGCGCUAUUUCGUAAGGGGCUGAUUUGGAUCCAUAUGUUUCAUGCUAUGGUUGGAUUUAUCUUAAUUCUUCUUUCGUAGUUGUGGAUGCUUGCGAGAGGGGAUAAGCAUAUCUAGAUUAAGGAUAUGGAUGUACUCAUAUAGAAAUUUAAUGGUAUUAAUUUUAUAAUUUGUUUGGACGUGUGUUAGUGGUUCUAAAAAGGAUGUGAAUACACACAUAUAGCAAAAAUAUAUACAUUAGCGGUUCCAAAGAAUUACGUUAAGGUACUCAUAUAUGAAUAUAUGGCUAGCAGUCCAUACCGUAUGAAACUAGUAUGCUUAAAGAUUAUCUAUGUCAACUCUUACUAAACAUUACAAGGUCCAAUUCUAGUCAAACAGCAAUGCUUCUAUAUCAAUUGCUAAUAAAUUUGGAUGUAUGGAUAAGGAUGAACUUUAACUAUCAUCCAUGUAUUCCAAAAAGUAUAAUUGACACCAAUGUUUCUUGUACACGAUUCUACAAAUCUCUCUAGCAAGUGGUCCCAACAUGCCAAUACAAACAUGAAACCUAGACAAUUUUUAGGGUCCUUGGGGUGAUACUUCUAUAUAAGGGGGGCACAUCUCCGCAUAUCUCCCACUAACAUGUCGUUAGCCAAUGGUUUUGGUAAAUCUCUAGCAUUUCGUAGAUUCUUGUUGCUCUUGUUUAUAGUAGUAAGUUUCAUUUUCUUCAUAGGAUUUAGUAUGCCAAGGAGGGAGAGGCGGUCAGGUGUCGCAUACAUCCAUGAUGACAAAGAGCGUGAUGGCUCCUUCUUCAAGAGGCGCAGUGGUUUGUUCAAGAGCGCUGCUAACCUCAAUGCCCUCACCGGUGCUAGGGUUGCUAUCAUCCUAGAGGGGAGCAAUGUUGUUAUGCUCUUUCAGACAAACCAUCCUACAAUGGAUUUCUUGGGAUGGAUGCUUAAUUGGGUAAUGAUGGUACUAAGUAGACAUUCUUCUAUAGGAAAUGGUGAAUGUGUUUAUGCGCAAUAGGAAUCUUCUUCCAGCGAGCAAGAUGUUGAUGCUUGGGUGCAAUCUGAAGGACUUAGUUAGAAGCUAGUUAGACUUACAUUUUAGUUUUAUAUCAGAAUGAAAGCUAGUUACAUUACCACCUGGAAAAUGUUACCAUUUGGACAUUUUACUAAGCCCCUUCCAGGCAAUAAUAUACAUGUUCAGUGUUGUAGGUCUUGGAACAUGGAAGUUUUUUUUCUAUGUGCCGCUUCAUAUUUUCAUUAUAAUCAAAUAUUUUAUUUUCUUUGUGAGAUGUUAUGUAUCUUAUGGGUGAAGGAAGAGGAAACCUUGAUUUAUAAUACCACCCCUCUUAGCAUAUUCUGAUCCAACCAUUAGUAAUUAACAGAAAAUGGGAGCUAUGCGGAGUAAGUAACUAAAAGGUAGCACAAGUUCAUAUUUCCACUCAAGCGACAAGCAUCAAUUGCUUUAAUUGCAUAAGUGUAUGAAAAAUAAGAACAACUCAAUAUGAGAUUCAUUUGAAAUCACGGUAAAUCAAUGUUUUAUUAAUAGAUGCCAAUGCUUUAUUGUCAUUAAAUUAAAACCAUAGUAUACCUGCGAGGACAUGGCGGCCACCUAAUUCUCCAUUUCAGUUUCAGUAGCAGGAAACAACAAAUUUAUGAAAUGAAUCUACUUUUGUUGCCUUCGUUGGUUUUUAUCCUUGAAUAAAAAGUGAUUUUUUUGUAAUGAUAUUGCUCAUCUAAUUAAUAAAUUAGACCAUCGGCCGAUUGCAUUAUGCAAUUGUUCUAAUCUUCUCACCGUUGAAAGAGCAUGGUGCCCCAAUGUUUGGUUUUUGUAAUUGAUGACAAUCUCUAUGGAUUAAUGGUUGCUUUGAGUUAUAUUUGAAAGGUUAUCCAUAGGCAAUGCUUGAAUACCAUAUGUUGGUUUCAAGGUUGAAAGAAGAAUAUUAUUUGUUGACCAAGGUGUUAUUCAUGGAGUUAUCCAAAGAUUGGUCCUGUAAGAGUUGAGUCUAUUGCAAGCAUGUCCUGAAAAAGAAGAUUAUGUGAACAUUCAUGUAGCCUUCAAUACAUCAUCUUUAUGAAGAGAGAGGAUAAGAUACAAGGUUGAUCAAGACUAAGUACAAAGAAUGGAUUCAAGUUGAUGAACACACAAAGCAUAGAAGAUGUACCGAGUCAAAUCAAGUGAUCUCACGGUAUGGUAAGCAUUGUCCAUUAUGCUUUGUGUAACACAUGAUCUAUUUGUGUGGUGUUCCUAUGUGGGGCUACUUUUUUUCCAUGGGCUUACAUCAAGAGGAAGAUAUCAGAUAACCCAUGGAGGAUGACAUCAUGUGGUGAUCGUCAUCAAUGUUAUGUUGAGCAAGUUCAAGUGGAGCAUCACAAAGAGAUCACAUGCUUGAAGCUUGCCAUCCAUUCUAGUGAUAAUGGACUUGUGAAGAUGUGCCAAAGAGAGGCUCACCCAUAGUGGAGUAUGGGGGAGCAAUAUAUUAGUCUUCAUCGAGCUAGCGCAAUCAGAAAGGUGGUCCAACGUGAGGAGGACGAGAUCAUCAUCAUCUAGCUCAAGUGGACUAUGUGCAAGGCAAAGGUUUGACCUUAAUAGGUUUUCUGUUUUACCGAUCUGAUGGUGUUAGUUGGGAGACCGGGUUGAAGGAUUGAUUCACGUACUAUCAAGGGGGCUCUCGAGUGAGUAGCUUGAUCGUAUCAUUCAUAGAGAGCUCAAACCAUUGCAUCAUCGGCAUCAUCUUUCUUGGUUCUUGUUUGGCUUUUCUCUAUGUGAGUUUUGGAGCUUGUGGUCAUCUCCAUGACAAGUUCAAGUUCAUCAAAAAUGGAUUUCAUAUGCAGCAUCUAUUGUGUUUUCGAUGUAGGAGUUUUUGCCAGUUCUUCACUCAUGUAUAUUUCACACCUAUCAAGUUUCAAUUCAUCAAAAUCAAAGUUCAUUUGCCGAAGGUAUGCCUGUUUUGGUCUUAAUUACUUGCAUUCAACUGUUGUGCUUUGGUAUUUUGGUAGAGGGCAAGCGUUCUGCUUGGGCUGAGCCUUCUGUUGCCCCUCAACAUUUCGCGGUAGUACCGCUUGCUACUGGUGGUAGUACUGCUUAUGCAGUACUUCCGCUGGUUGGUGUCGUGGCUACCUCUGGUUGUGUUUAGUCUUCUGUAUGCCUCUGGCAAUUUGCGGUAGUACCGCUGCUUCCAACGGUAGUACCGCUUGAUGUGGUUCUUCCGCUCUAGUGCCGCUUGAACUACUGCUAGUUUGUCUGUUAGCCUAUUGACAAUUAGUGGCAGUACCGCUUGCUGUAGCCGGUGGGACCGCUCCGGCAGAACUAGAAUGCGAGUACCACUAUGGUACUCGAUGAGCCUCAGUGAAACUGCCGCUCUUAGCGGUAGUACCGCUUGAGCAUGACCAGUGCAUAAUGGUUGUAUUCUUGCCCCCACUAUAAAAGGGGGUCUUCUUCACCAUUGCUACUAGCAACUUUGAGCAAGCUUUCUCCUCCAUUAUUGACCUCCAAAAUCUUUGCUUUACCUCUAUCCCUCCCAUGGUUCUUGCAUCAUUUUGAGGGGAAAGAGAGAGGAUAUCUAGAUUCUAUAUCUUCAUUUCCACUAAUCCAUCUUACGUCUAAGUGAGGGCAACCCUUUGGAUCUAAAUCUUCGAGUUCUUUUGUGUUCUCCUUGUUCUUCCUCACAUAUUCCUCCAUAGCUUUCGUUACUUUGUGGGAUUUGAGAGAUGUGGGACUUGAGCACUUAGUGUGUUCUUGCCAUUACAUUAGUUGCAUCGGUUCGAGUUCUCCAUGAUGAUACAUGGAAGUGAAAGUCGAGAAGCUUACUAGUACCUUUUGGGUAUUUGGGUGUCCUAGAUGAUUGGUGGUGUCACAAAGCUCAAUCAUUGUUGUGUAAAGCUUCGGGAAAGCUUUGGGGUCUCUAAUACGUCCAUUUUAUAUCAUGUUUUCCUACUACUAUUUCUAAUGGUUUAGAGCUAUAUUUCACCUUUGAUGCAAUUCCAAUGCCUUUUCUCUCUUAAUUGCCAGUUAUAUCACAAGAGGAAGAUUGCCGACAGCUGGAAUUCUGGACCUGAAAAGUGCUACAACAGAGAUAGCUAUUCUCUUGAGCUCCAAAUGACCUAAAUUUUUCCAAAGAUUUGUUUUGAAAUAUAUAAAAAAUACUAGAAGCAAAAUGCACUGGAGGGGACGCACUAGGGAGCUACAAGCUCGGGGGCGCGCCCACCCCCUGGGGCGCACCUGGUGAGCUUAUGGGUCCCACAGAAGGCCUAUGUGGCCCAUCGUCUCCUAUAUGAAGCCAUUUUCCCUAUAAAAAUAAUCAAGAGAAGACUUAGCGCCACCGUCUCGAGGCGGAACCUGGGCAGGAGCACUUUUGCUCUCUGGCAGAGCGAUUCCACCAGGGAAACUUCCCUCUGGGAGGGGGAAAUCAAAGCCAUCAUCAUCAUCAACAAUGUUCCUUUCAUCAUGGGAGGACUCAUCUCCGUCAACAUCUUCACUAGCACCAUCUCACUUCAAACCCUAGUUCAUCUCUUGUAUUCAAUCUUUGUCUCAAACCUCAGAGUGGUACAUGUGGGUUGCUAGUAGUGUUGAUUACAUCUUGUAGUUGAUUUACUUGGUGGAAGAUCAUAUCUUUAGAUUUUUAAUCAUAUAAUUCUCCUCUUAUCAUGAACAUGAAUAUGAUGUGUGAGUAGUUUCUUUUAUUCUUGAGGAAACAGGAGAAGUCUUGUUAUAAGUAAUCAUGUGAAGUUGGUUUUCAUUCAAUAUUUUGAUGAUGUGCUAUGUUGUUCUUCCUCUAGUGGUGUCAUGUGAAUGUCGACUACAUGUCACAUUAUCAUGUUUGAGCCUAGGGGAAGGCAUUGUGGGAUUAGUCAGUAGAUGAUGGGUUGCUAGAGUGAUAGAAGCUUAAAUCCUAGUUUAUGCGCUAUGUCGUAAGGAGCUGAUUUGGAUCCAUAUGUUUCAUGCUAUGGUUGGAUUUAUCUUAAUUCUUCUUUCGUAGUUGUGGAUGCUUGCGAGAGGGGAUAAGCAUAUCUAGAUUAAGGAUAUGGAUGUACUCAGAUAGAAAUUUAAUGGUAUUAAUUUUAUAAUUUGUUUGGACGUGUGUUAGUGGUUCUAAAAAGGAUGUGAAUACACACAUAUAGCAAAAAUAUAUACAUUAGUGGUUCCAAAGAAUUACGUUAAGGUACUCAUAUAUGAAUAUAUGGCUAGCAGUCAAUACCGUAUGAAACUAGUAUUCUUAAAGAUUAUCUAUGUCAACUCUUACAAAAGAUUACAAGGUCCAAUUCUAGUCAAACAGCAAUGCUUCUAUAUCAAUUGCUAAUAAAUUUGGAUGUAUGGAUAAGGAUGAACUUUAACUAUCGUCCAUGUAUUGCAAAAAGUAUAAUUGACACCAAUGUUUCUUGUACACGAUUCUACAAAUCUCUCUAGCAAGUUGUCCCAACAUGCCGAUACAAACAUGAAACCUAGACAAUUUUUAGGGUCCUUGGGGUGAUACUUCUAUAUAAGGGGGGCACAUCUCCGCAUAUCUCCCACUAACAUGUCGUUAGCCAAUGGUUUUGGUAAAUCUCUAGCAUUUCGUAGAUUCUUGUUGCUCUUGUUUAUAGUAGUAAGUUUCAUUUUCUUCAUAGGAUUUAGUAUGCCAAGGAGGGAGAGGCGGUCAGGUGUCGCAUACAUCCAUGAUGACAAAGAGCGUGAUGGCUCCUUCUUCAAGAGGCGCAGUGGUUUGUUCAAGAGCGCUGCUAACCUCAAUGCCCUCACCGGUGCUAGGGUUGCUAUCAUCCUAGAGGCGAGCAAUGGUGUUAUGCUAUUUCAGACAAACCAUCCUACAAUAGAUUUCUUGGGAUGGAUGCUUAAUUGGGUUAUGAUGGUACUAAGUAGACAUUCUUCUAUAGGAAAUGGUGAAUGUGUUUAUGCGCAAUAGGAAUCUUCUUCCAGCGAGCAAGAUGUUGAUGCUUGGGUGUAAUCUGAAGGACUUAGUUAGAAGCUAGUUAGACUUACAUUUUAGUUUUAUAUUGGAAUGAAAGCUAGUUACAUUACCACCUGGAAAAUGUUACCAUUUGGACAUUUUACUAAGCCCCUUCCAGGCAAUAAUAUACAUGUUCAGUGUUGUAGGUCUUGGAACAUGGAAGUUUUUUUUCUAUGUGCCGCUUCAUAUUUUCAUUAUAAUCAAAUAUUUUAUUU